This 710-nucleotide ribosomal RNA is filed under the name actinomycete enrichment culture clone p173. RNAcentral describes it as "bacterial SSU rRNA". It matches the Rfam family "Bacterial small subunit ribosomal RNA", at positions 1 to 744 of the family's 1533-position model. Lineage: Bacteria; Bacillati; Actinomycetota; Actinomycetes; Actinomycetales. The record is from RNAcentral.
UUGAGUUUGAUCCUGGCUCAGGACGAACGCUAGCGGCGUGCCUAAGGUAUGCAAGUCGAACGGACCCGCAAGGGUUAGUGGCGAACGGUUGAGUAACACGUAGACAACCUGCCUCGAAGUGGGGGACAACAGCGGGAAACUGCUGCUAAUACCGCAUGUGGCCUUCCAACGCCUGUUGGGAUGGCUAAAGGCGCAAGUCGCUUCGAGAUGGGUCUGCGGCCUAUCAGUUUGUUGGUGGGGUAACGGCCUACCAAGACGACGACGGGUAGCUGGUCUGAGAGGAUGAUCAGCCAGACGGGGACUGAGACACGGCCCCGACUCCUUCGGGAGGCAGCAAUGAGGAAUAUUGCGCAAUGGGCGAAAGCCUGACGCAGCGACGCCGCGUGGGUGAGGAAGUUCUUCGGAAUGUAAAGCCCUUUUGUCGGGGACGAUCACAGACGGUACCCGACGAAUAGGCCCCGGCUAACUACGUGCCAGCAGCCGCGGUAAUACGUAGAGGGCAAGCGUUGUCCGGAUUUACUGGGCGUAAAGAGCGCGUAGGCGGAGAUCUAAGCGUGGCCUGAAAGCCCCCGGCUCAACCGGGGAGUGCGGCUGCGAACUGGGUUUCUUGAGGACGAUAGAGGAGAGUGGAAUUCCUGGUGUAGCGGUGAAAUGCGUAGAUAUCAGGAGGAACACCCGAGGCGAAGGCGGCUCUCUGGGUCGUACCUGAC